RNAcentral lists this ribosomal RNA (575 nucleotides) under uncultured bacterium. Its description in RNAcentral is "bacterial SSU rRNA". It matches the Rfam family "Bacterial small subunit ribosomal RNA", at positions 338 to 916 of the family's 1533-position model. The record is from RNAcentral.
CCUACGGGAGGCAGCAGUAAGGAGUAUUGCGCAAUGGGCGAAAGCCUGACGCAGCGACGCCGCGUGGGGGAUGAAGGUCUUCGGAUUGUAAACCCCUUUCGGGAGGGAAGAUGGAAUGGAGUAACCCAUUCGGACGGUACCUCCAGAAGCAGCCACGGCUAACUUCGUGCCAGCAGCCGCGGUAAUACGAAGGUGGCAAGCGUUAUUCGGAUUUACUGGGCGUACAGGGAGCGUAGGCGGUUCGGUAAGCCCUUUGUGAAAUCUCCAGGCUUAACCUGGAAAAGUCGGAGGGGACUGCCGGGCUAGAGGACGGGAGAGGAGCGCGGAGUUCCCGGUGUAGCGGUGAAAUGCGUAGAGAUCGGGAGGAAGGCCGGUGGCGAAGGCGGCGCUCUGGAACGUUUCUGACGCUGAGGCUCGAAAGCGUGGGGAGCAAACAGGAUUAGAUACCCUAGUAGUCCACGCCUUAAACUAUGAAUACUAAGUGUCGGCGGGUUACCGCCGGUGCCGCAGCUAACGCAUUAAGUAUUCCGCCUGGGAAGUACGGCCGCAAGGUUGAAACUCAAAGGAAUUGACGG